This 850-nucleotide ribosomal RNA is filed under the name uncultured bacterium. RNAcentral's name for it is "bacterial SSU rRNA". It matches the Rfam family "Bacterial small subunit ribosomal RNA", at positions 1 to 833 of the family's 1533-position model. The record is from RNAcentral.
GCNNGUUACGAAUUCGCCCUUGAGUUGAUCAUGGCUCAGGUAUGAACGCUAGCGGCAGGCUUAACACAUGCAAGUCGAGGGGCAGCAUGUCCAGCAAUGGAUGAUGGCGACCGGCGGAAGGGUGCGUAACGCGUGAGCAACAUGCCCUAUACAGGGAGAUACACCAGGGAAACUUGGUCUAAUNUCCCAUAGCAUUCAUUGAAGGCAUCUUUAAUGAAUUAAAGCUUCGGUGGUAUAGGAUUGGCUCGCGUGACAUUAGCCAGAUGGUGAGGUAACGGCUCACCAUAGCAAUGAUGUCUAGGGGUUUUGAGAGGAAGGCCCCCCACACUGGGACUGAGACACGGCCCAGACUCCUACGGGAGGCAGCAGUGAGGAAUAUUGGACAAUGGAUGGAAAUCUGAUCCAGCCAUGCCGCGUGCAGGAAGACGGCCUUAUGGGUUGUAAACUGCUUUUAUACGGGAGCAAUAAGGGUUACGAGUAAUCCGAUGAGAGUACUGUAUGAAUAAGGAUCGGCUAACUCCGUGCCAGCAGCCGCGGUAAUACGGAGGAUCCGAGCGUUAUCCGGAAUUAUUGGGUUUAAAGGGUGCGUAGGCGGCCAUUUAAGUCAGCGGUGAAAUUUUGCAGCUUAACUGUAACAGUGCCGUUGAUACUGUUUGGCUAGGAUUUGGUUGUAGUGUGCGGAAUGUGUGGUGUAGCGGUGAAAUGCUUAGAUAUCACACAGAACACCGAUUGCGAAGGCAGCACACUAAGUCAUUAUUGACGCUGAGGCACGAAAGUGUGGGGAUCAAACAGGAUUAGAUACCCUGGUAGUCCACACUGUAAACGAUGAUAACUCGCUGUCGGCGAUACA